ACCGAAUAGAUACCCUGGUAGUCCUAGCCCUAAACGAUGAUCGCUUGGUGUGACGGGUACCCAAUCCCGUCGUGCCGCAGCUAAACGCGUUAAGCGAUCCGCCUGGGGUAGUACGGUCGCAAGGCUGAAACCUCAAAGGAAUUGACGGGGGUCCCGCACAAGCGGUGGAGCAUGUGGUUUAACUUCGACGCAACGCGAAGAACCCUUACCUGGGCUCGAAACUGUAGUGGACCGGAGUAGAAACUAUUCCUUCCCCGGCAAGGGGUCUGCUAUAUAGGUGCUGCAUGGCUGUCGUCAGCUCGUGUCGUGAGAUGUUGGG
Molecule: ribosomal RNA, 319 nt
Filed under: uncultured bacterium
Lineage: Bacteria
Description: bacterial SSU rRNA
Rfam family: Bacterial small subunit ribosomal RNA
Source: RNAcentral